CGUAACUGUGCGCACGCGCCGAGAGGCGUGUGCCCGUUACCAUGGUAGCCAGAGCAGCUGGCGGCGGCUCUGGUCGCCGAGAUCUGCCAGUAUUUGUGCGGGGCCCAGGCGCGGUGCCGCUGCGGAGCUGUGGUUACGGUCUCCCGAGCCCAGCCGCUCUCUGUGGCGGGGGACAGCCAGCCGGGGUCUUACUUUAGGAGCCUUCCCAUGGCUUCCCAGGAAAGGGUGGAGGCAGUGACCAAAGGAACAGAGUUCUGGCGCUGCCCCAAGCCGGCCACUUACACCCCGGGGACCUGCGAGCUGCUCAGAGUGAUGAUGAAGGAAUCCAAGCUGACUAACUUCCAACAGCGCCACAUCAUGGACACCAUGAAAAGUAAGAGGCAGUCCACAGAGGCUUCCUGGGCAGAGGGACUCUGGACCACACUUUUAAUCCUCUUCCAUAUUAAGGGGUAGGGAAGGGACUUCAUUUAAAAAGACCAAAGAAGGGGCGCCUGUGUGGCUCAGUUGGUUAAGCGACUGCCUUUGGC
This is a non-coding RNA of Leptonychotes weddellii (Weddell seal), 527 nucleotides long. The record is from RefSeq and is a predicted model, not a curated record. Lineage: Eukaryota; Metazoa; Chordata; Mammalia; Carnivora; Phocidae.